This 478-nucleotide ribosomal RNA is filed under the name uncultured bacterium. RNAcentral's name for it is "partial 16S ribosomal RNA". It matches the Rfam family "Bacterial small subunit ribosomal RNA", at positions 28 to 507 of the family's 1533-position model. The record is from RNAcentral.
GGUGAACGCUGGCGGCGUGCUUAACACAUGCAAGUCGAACGAGAAGUGAAGACGGAAACCUUCGGGCGGAAGGCUUUAUUUCGAGUGGCGGACGGGUGAGUAACGCGUGGGUAACCUGCCUCAUACAGGGGGAUAACAGUUGGAAACGACUGUUAAUACCGCAUAAGACCACAGCACCGCAUGGUGCGGGGGUAAAAACUCCGGUGGUAUGAGAUGGACCCGCGUUCGAUUAGCCAGUUGGCGGGGUAACGGCCCACCAAAGCGACGAUCGAUAGCCGAUCUGAGAGGAUGACCGGCCACAUUGGGACUGAGACACGGCCCAAACUCCUACGGGAGGCAGCAGUGGGGAAUAUUGCACAAUGGGGGAAACCCUGAUGCAGCGACGCCGCGUGAGUGAAGAAGUAUUUCGGUAUGUAAAGCUCUAUCAGCAGGGAAGAAAAUGACGGUACCUGAGUAAGAAGCCCCGGCUAACUACGUG